RNAcentral lists this ribosomal RNA (293 nucleotides) under uncultured bacterium. Its description in RNAcentral is "partial 16S ribosomal RNA". It matches the Rfam family "Bacterial small subunit ribosomal RNA", at positions 28 to 320 of the family's 1533-position model. The record is from RNAcentral.
GACGAACGCUGGCGGCGUGCUUAACACAUGCAAGUCGAGCGGUAAGGCCCUUUCGGGGGUACACGAGCGGCGAACGGGUGAGUAACACGUGGGUGACCUGCCCUCAGCUCUGGGAUAAGCCUGGGAAACCGGGUCUAAUACUGGAUAUGACUCCAUGACGCAUGUUGUGGGGUGGAAAGCCUUGUGCGGCUGAGGAUGGGCCCGCGGCCUAUCAGCUUGUUGGUGGGGGAUGGCCUACCAAGGCGACGGACGGGUAGCCGGCCUGAGGAGGGCGGACCGGCCACACGUGGGAC